GCACGGACGCUGCCACAUCGACUUCCUCUGCCGCGCUGACACACAGGCGAUCCUCGAGAAUGAAUGGGGCAGAGCGCAGCGUGCAGAUCUCCAGCCCUCGGCCGCAGGAAUCGCUGCACGCCAGCACCGCCAGCAGCAGGAGUUUUUAGAAGUAACAAGGGGACGAAUUCGGGCAGUACCUUUCUUUGUGGCAAGUCAAGCCUCGCGUACGAAUCGAGUUGCCUCUUCCCCUCACUGAGAGAUGGCUCAAUAUUUCCAGCCAAUCUGAACGGUGAAGCCGAGGUUUUAGUACCUGAAAAAGCACCAAGUGAAAAUUGCCAAAUACGAGCUUGUGGCAGGCACUAGGCAGGAGGGUUUGCUUUCCUCAGCGUAAAGUCAAACCAACGCAAGUUUAUAAGAAACCUAAAUCUUCAGCUAAGCUAACAUCUAGCAAUAAUUCUCUUUCACAAACCAAAGAAGUAAUUUCUUCCUCAAAACGUUACAUUAGGAAACAGGAAACAUUCCAGAAAUGUAUUUCUUCUAACACCAGCGUGAAAAACAGCACUGUGUAAAAAAGCACCGCAUCUCCAGACUUCCCGUGCAACAAAACACAGAACUACCACAAGCAGAUGAACCUAUCCGUCCCAAACUUACCAUAAAAGAACCAUCAAAGCAACUCUACGGAUCCGCUAUGCGACCAGAAGGGCAAUCCGGAGGAGAGGACGCGAAUUCUGAUUGGAUCAACACAUUGCAACACAGCAUUCAUACCUCCAUGUGUUUCACCUCUAAUUGAUUACUUCCUGGAUGACACGAUCCGAACAUUUUAACUUGAGAACUGCUUUGUCUGGAAAAAAGUGCUGUCACACUCUGAAAUCAAUGACACUAGGAAGCACAGCCAGGACAUGGAAUUGAUAUGCCAAGACCUCCUUUCCUUUGAAAGAUGACCUAUUUCAUAUAUGAAAUUGCAAUUGCAUGGUAUUCUACUAUUUGGUGCAUUUCAGCUGUUUUCACUUUUUUUGGAGGAAGUUACAACUUCAUCAGAAAUCUAUUAAAAGGCAUUUUGAUGGAAAAAAAUUGUUUGGUUGUGUUGAUAAAUUUUACCCUCAUUAAAUACUAAAAUAUUUUACAAAAUAUAUAUGUUAUGUACUCCAUAUACAUGAGCUCCAG
This 1146-nucleotide long non-coding RNA is filed under the name Gallus gallus (chicken). Lineage: Eukaryota; Metazoa; Chordata; Aves; Galliformes; Phasianidae. The record is from RNAcentral.